AUUGAACGCUGGCGGCAGGCCUAACACAUGCAAGUCGAACGGUAGCACAGAGAGCUUGCUCUCGGGUGACGAGUGGCGGACGGGUGAGUAAUGUCUGGGAAACUGCCCGAUGGAGGGGGAUAACUACUGGAAACGGUAGCUAAUACCGCAUAACGUCGCAAGACCAAAGUGGGGGACCUUCGGGCCUCACACCAUCGGAUGUGCCCAGAUGUGAUUAGCUAGUAGGUGGGGUAAUGGCUCACCUAGGCGACGAUCCCUAACUGGUCUGAGAGGAUGACCGGCCACACUGGAACUGAGACACGGUCCAGACUCCUACGGGAGGCAGCAGUGGGGAAGAUUGCACAAUGGGCGCAAGCCUGAUGCAGCCAUGCCGCGUGUAUGAAGAAGGCCUUCGGGUUGUAAAGUACUUUCAGCGGGGAGGAAGGCGGUGAAGUUAAUAACUUCACCGAUUGACGUUACCCGCAGAAGAAGCACCGGCUAACUCCGUGCCAGCCGCCGCCGUAA
RNAcentral lists this ribosomal RNA (504 nucleotides) under uncultured bacterium. Its description in RNAcentral is "partial 16S ribosomal RNA". It matches the Rfam family "Bacterial small subunit ribosomal RNA", at positions 30 to 523 of the family's 1533-position model. The record is from RNAcentral.